This 7738-nucleotide long non-coding RNA is filed under the name Marmota monax (woodchuck). The stretch from base 947 to 1015 matches the Rfam family "tRNA". The record is from RNAcentral. Lineage: Eukaryota; Metazoa; Chordata; Mammalia; Rodentia; Sciuridae.
UUCAAACCUGUCCUCUUCCCACCAGUCUCCAUGGUCUCUCCAAAGGCAGGACAGAAGAAUUCAUGAGUCAUGGAAACAGAAAACAGGAACACUGGUCCAACGUGGUACAGAAAAGAUUGAGCUAUUUCUGAAGGUAAGAAUGUCUCACUGUGUAAAGAAGGUAAGGGGGGAACACAGGAGAAAGAAAGGAUGUGAGCCCAGCCGGCAGCUGGCUGGUGGCAAGGAGAGCCCAAAAUGCUCACGUAAUAGGUGGAACCCAGCAUGUGCUCCACAAAGGGGGACCUGGGACAGGGGCUUCAAAGGCCCGGAGCUAAAGAACUGGAUCCUACUCUGUAAACAAGCAGGUGUAGUCUGAAGUUUGAGCUCACAGCUCUAUAACGACAGAGAGCAAGACAGAUUUGAGAAGUAUUUGGGUUAACUGGCAGGACCUGAGGAAAUGUGCCUGGGGAUUGUGAAAAGGGUGAAUCAAGGAGGACUCAGUUAGGCUCCUGGUGAGGGCAAGAGGCAAGUGGAGGAACCGUCACCACUUGAGAUGAAGAAGCCAGGAGAAGAACAGGUCCUGGUGUCCUAGUGGCUGUCAUUCACAUUUGAGAUGGAUGCCACCAGUCUGCGUGUGGGAAGAGAGCGCUGAGAUCAUUGCAGAGCAAGAGGUAGCCCGAGUGAAGGGGAAGCCCAGGGAUGGGGGGAAAAGAUGCCAGAAAAGAAGAAAGGUCAAAAGCCAGAUCUGUUCCCUCCUCCACAGCCCUUGUGAUGUGACAUAGUACACCACUGACAGAGCAGGCAAGACACCCAGGGUCCCGACUCCUGGUCUACGUAUUCUUUAUUUCUGUCAUAUUCUUAUAAGAUGGAGACGCAAUAUUACUUUCCUCUCUCCUUUCAAGAAUCUGUUUUUCCCAGCUAUCUCACAACAUUUAAAGUUUUUAAAAAAAUAUUUUUAAUUGGGGCUGGGGUUGUGGCUCAGUGGUAGAGCACCCGCCUCGCACGUGUGAGGCACUGGGUGCGAUCCUCAGCACCACAUAAAACUAAAUAAAGAUAUUGUAUCUAAGUAUAGCUAAAAAUAUUAUGUAUAUAACAUAUUUAUGAUGGACACAAUACCUUUAUUUUAUUUAUUUAUUUUUAUGUGGUACUGAGGAUCGAAUCCAGUGCCUCACAAUUGCUAGGGAAGUGCUCUACCAUUGAACCACAACCCUAGCCCCAAAACAUUUAAAAUUUAAUUUUAAAAAUAAAAGAAAGGACCUGAGGAUGUAGAUCAGUUGUAGACCUAAUGCUUAGCAUUCUUGAGGCCCUGGCUUCAAUCCCCAGCACCAAAGUAAAAGCAAUAAAUGCACAUUAAAAUAUUCAAAUGAUCUAGAAAAGAACAAAACAAAAAUUUAUUCUUCCUUUCCACAUUCCAAGCUUUCAAUUUCUUCACCCUUUCUAUGGGGGAAGUUGACCACUAUUAAAGGGUUCUUGUGUAUCUCUGAAAAAAACUGAAUAUCUUCAUCUAUACUUGAGGGUCCAACCCAGGGCCUCACACAUAGGAGGCAAACACUUUACCACUGAGCUACAGCCCCAGCCCCUAGCAUAUACUUUUAUUUACACAAAUGGUGUCAUGCUACAAGCACAAUGCUUUGUUCAUAUAAUAUGUCAUGUUGCUUGUUCAUGUAAUAAUCUGUCUUCAGAGGUAGCUUGGUAUGGUGGUUGAGAGAAUGGCCUUGGGAGUCAGAAUGCUCAGUUUUCAUCCAACAUUGUGAGACAUUCUGAUACCUACAUUUGUGAGACAAUAGACAGGUUAUUCUGUGUUUCAGUUUUUGCCUUUGUAAAUGAGGUUAAUAAUGGUACCCCACUUUACAGGAUUGUUGUGUUAAAUAAGUUAAUAUAUCUAAAGCACUCAGAAUACUAAUUGCUCUAUAUUCAUUAUUACUAUUACAUGCUUACAUCAACAUAUGUAGAUCUGAUCAUUUUCUUUUUUCACACAUUGCAAUAAAUUAUUCUGAAAAAAAAUAGUAAUUUUUGUUUGUUGUUUUUGUACUGGGGACUGAACCCAGUGACACUUUACCACUGAGCUACAACCCCAGUCCUUUUAACUUUUUAAAUUUUGAGACAUGGUCUCACUUUUCUUGCCUCAGCAUCCAGAGUAGCUGGGAUUACAGGUGUGCACCACCACAGUCAAAUGUUUUUGGUUUUGAGUUUCUUUUACAGUAAACUUUUCAACUACAAAUACUGAAUCUAAGAAUGAUGUUCUGGGGCUAGGUAGGUAUGUGCAGCUCAGUGGUCCAGCGGCUUGCCCAGUAUGUAAAAGGCCCUGUGUCUGAUCCCCAGCAUGAGGGAAUAAAAGAUGUUUCGAGGACAAGCAUAACAGGAUUGAUAAAACGCAAACUAACUAAAUAUAUACUUAUAAUAUAAACUGGCAUACAAAUUAUCAAAUAUCAUAACAACAGUAAUGUGUCAGGACACAUGACUAAACCAGGCAAGGUCACUCCAGGUGAACUGGGCUGGAACGAAAUAAUGACAGAGAGAGAGAAAUACUUUUCUCUUUGGGUUCUGUGACGGCCCCUCUGACCCAGCUCCCACAAAGGAGGUAAGGCAGGCAAGAAAGAGAGGGAACACGCCUCAAACCCGGGUUUUAUUGCGGGAGGCUGUCCAAAAGAACAUUCCAUCCAUAUAAGGCAGAAGGGUAAUGUUACAAGGGGCAGUUACUCCCACCGGGUAACGCCCACUCCCAGAGCUGUGCUCCUCCUCUGAGCAGAGAUGGGGAUCCCCCUGCACUUCCGCACUUCCAUCACUCACAGGUAGGGGGUGCUCAGCUCCCAUGUGGCAGCUCCCACGAUAAUGUACAUACACUAACGAUUUAUGGGUAAACAUUAACCAUUCUAAUUCCAGUUCCAAAAGAUAAUAGAGUUCAUUUUAAGUUAUAUUUAAAAGCUAAUGCUUUCCAAAGGGCUGAUGAUUUCAUAUUUAAAAUGCAAGGCCUCCACCUUGAAAUUGUAUUGUAUUGGCUUCAGAAAAAUAUAAAUCAUUGCUUUAUUUAUUUAUUUUUAAUAUUUAUUUUUUGUUACAGUGGGAAACAACAGCUCAAAUCUACAUUGUUAUAUCUGAUGCCAGCGAUCGAACCCAGGGCCCCCCACAUGCUAGGAAAAUGCUCCACUGCUGAGCCACCUCCCCAGCCAGUUUUGCUUUAUUUUGAAUAACUCACUAACCUUACGAAAAGAAAAAAGGACUAGGGGUUCAGCUCAGUAGCAAAGCACCCCUGGAAUCAAUCCCCAGAACCAGAGAGAGAGAGAAUAUCCCAUUGUAAGCACGCUAAUUAAUAUUUAGCUGAGUGGUGAUGGUGGAGUGGAACUGAUGAAAGAGGCUCCUAGACAUGUAGAAGUCAGUACAAAAACUUUGAUAAUUCUUGGUGGGUAAGGGCAACUUCAUGCAACCAAAUAACAUGAAAGUAAAUCAAUAACCUUCAGAAAAGACUAAAAUGUCUCCUCCCACCACAGAGAGCAAUGUGAACAGUGUACACGCAAACCGGGGUUCUGUCCAUGAGAACUAGGACUACCUGUAGUUCCUAUCAAACCCAAGAACAUCAGAGGCCCAGCCAUCUCACCUCCCGAGGCCUCCCUGACCCCAGCAAGUUAGGCAGCUGAGCCUCCACUGGUUUCCCUCAUGUCUCAAGUGUCUGCUGUGCCACGGGCCUCUCAGCCCUGAGGCUGCUCUGAUGUCCUCUCAUUUGCAGUCUUGUUGCCUUGGCUUCCUGGAGAUUCCCAGGACUCCUAGAGGACUUCCCUGAAGCGCAUGGCUUCUCCACUCUUGGGCUGCCCUCUCCAGCUUCUCUCUCACCCUCGCUGCCCUCAUCUGUGGCAUGCCCACCUUCUCCCUCGGUUUCUGAAGAGCCCUGCUGCUGAGCUGCGUGGAUUCCAGUACAUUUCACUCCUGGGUUACUGUCUAUUUCCCACAAUCCAUUAAAUCAUUUCCAUGUGUUUGACUUUCCAAACAUGUCUUUGCUUCUUUAUAUGGAAAAAGGUCUUUAGGGCCUAAAAAUGCAGUUUUACAGGUGCCAAAAAAUAAGGUAGGACACUUGUGUGCUGCUUCUCGGCGCCCCCCAGGAGGUCAUCCAUCCAGGAGGGGCCAGUGUGAGUAGCCUUCUUGUUGGUGAUGACCAGGUCACCUGCUCUGUAUUCCUGGGGCUCAGGAUGCAACAUCCUGGCCAUUCAUUCCCCUUCCUGGUCAUCCUCUGUAACCACCAAGACGCUGAGAGGCCACACCUCUCCCCCCUGCAGGCAGUGCCCCCAAAGACCUUAAACUUGGUGGGUGGGCCUGAUAAUUCUUCAUCAUUUUGGUGAUCUUCGAUCCUUCUUGUAGAUCAAAUUAUCAUCUGGGGUUAUUUCCCUUCAUGCUGAAGAAAUUCCUUUAGCAUUUCUCACAGUGCAGAUUCCUUGUAACACGUUCCCUUUGUUUUUCUUUAAAGCCAAGUUUUUAUUUUGACUGUGUGUGUAGGUGUGGUACUAGGGAUUGAAUCCAGGGGUGCUCUACCAUUGAGCUUCAUCUCCAGCACUUUUUUUUUUUGAGACAGGGUCUCACUAAGUUGCUGAGCUGACCUUGAACUUGCAGUUCUCCUGCCUUAGCCUCCUGAGCCACUGGGAUCACAGGUGUGUGCCAUCAUGCUCAGUUUGGCUUCAUUUUUUUUCCUGACAUGAUGAUGCCCAUUGUAUACUUUUCCUUCUUUCCACUUUUUUUUUUUUUUGGUACCAGGGAUUGAACCCAGCCACUUCCCCAUCCUUUUUAAAUAUUUUAUUUAGAGACAGGGUCUUGCUGAGUUGCUAAGUUGCUGAGGCUGGCUUUGAACUCAGGAUCUUCUUGCCUCAGCCUCCCAAGAUACUGGGAUUAAAGGCAUGUAUCACCACACCCGGUUCUUUCCACAUUUUUUAUUGAUGCAUUAUAGUUGUACAUAAUAAUGGGCUUGUUGUUAUAACUUGGCUUAAAUUUUAAAGGAAAGUUUUGCUGGAUACAUAAUUGGGGGCUGACAAUCAUUUUUCUUUCAGUACAUUUACUUCUACUCUCCAUUGUUUCUCCUAGGAAUCUGCUGUCACUGGGUGUGGUGGUGCAUGCCAGUAAUCCCAAGGAGUUGAGAGGCCGAGGCAAGAGGAUCACAAACUCAAGGUCAGCCUCAACAACUAAGCAAGAUUAUCUCAAAACUAAAAAGGACUGGGGAUAUGACUCAGUGGUAAAGUGCCCCUGGGAUCAAUCCCUGGUACCACAAAAACAAACAAGCAAACUUAUCUUUAUAUAUAUAUAUUAGUUGUAGAUGGACACAAUACCUUUAUUUUGUUUAUUUAUUUUUAUGUGGUGCUGAGGAUCGAACCCAGUGCCUCACACGUGCAAGGCAAGUACUCUACCACUGAACCCCAGCCCCAAACAAACUUAUCUUGCUGGGGGUUUGUUGAUUGGUCUGUAAGUUAAUAUAUUUCAUUAAAUUUGUAGAGUUCCUGGCCAUUGCUCCUUCAGAUAUUUUCUGCCCAUUCUUUCUCGAGUUUCCUCUGGAGCUCUAGUUACACACACGUUAGAUGGCCUGAUACUGUCCCAUGGGUCUCUGAGGUCUUUUCUUCAAUCUUUUUUUUUUAUGUUUCUAAAACUGAGUAAAUACUAUUGACCUGGUUUCCAUUUUUAUUAUUUUGAAAUGCUGGGGAAUCAAACCCAGGGUCUUAAGUAUGCUAAGCAAGCACUCCACCAGUGAGCUACAUCUCAGUCCAAUCCAUUUUUCAGUCUAAGAAGUUUUCUGCUACCUGGAAUCUGCUACUGAGCUUGGCCAGUAAAAAUUUCAAUUUAGUUAAUGUAUGUUUUUCAUAAAAUUCACAAUUUUCACUUUUUCUUUCUUUUAUUUUUAUUUUGUUUGUUUGUUUAUUUAUUCAUCCAUUUAUUUUGUGGUGCUGGGGAUUGAACCCAGGGUCUUAAGCAUGCAAGGCAAGCACUCUACCAACUAAGCUAUAUUCCCAGCCCUCUUUUUUUGAUUUUUUGAUACUGGGGAUUGAACCAAGGGGUACUUAAUCGCUAAGCCACAUCCCCAGCCAAUUUUUUAUUUUGAGACGGGGUCUCACUAAGUUCUUAGGGCCUCGCUAAGUUGCUGAGGCUGACCUUGUACUUGUGAUCCUCCUGCCUCUGCCUCCCAAGUCCCUGGGAUUACAGGCUUGCACCACCACACAAGGCAGUUUUCACUAUUCUAAGGCAUACAAUUCAGUGACAUUGGGACACUUUACAAUGUUACACAAGGACUAGAACCACAUCAUAAUUCCAAAACAAGACCCCAUUAAGCAGUCCCUCUCCAUUCCUGCCUCCUGAGCUCUUGGCAAACACUAACCUUUAGCUCUUUUCCAUAGUUUCAUAGUUUCUAUUUCUAGGCUGAUAUUUCCUGAUUGGUACUGUGCACAUAUCUGUAUAUAGAUGCUUUAACGUCCUUCCUUGUCUGUUAGUUAUAACAUCUUGAGUUUGGCUUGCUUUUUUUUUUUUUUUAUUGGAACUGGGUUGGCCUAGUGUCAGAGAUAUUUGUCCUUCCCACAGGUGACCAUGAACCUGUAUCCUGUGAAACCUCCACCUUAUCAGACAAAUGGAAGACUGUCGCACCCCCACCCCAACCUUGGAAUUCUGCAUCGGUGGCACAAUUCAGUAGGAACUGGUGAAGCAGCGAUUUCCAAGUAAAAAGUCUGUAUUAAUUACAAUUACGUAGAACUGCCCUUAUGGUAAACUUUUUACCAACAAAAUAUUCUUAUACUAACAGCAUUACCUGCCCCCCCCACACACACACAAAAAAUAACAUUAUCACAACAAGAAGUAAAUAACUGGCCAUUGUAUCUGCUUUUAUAAACAGAUAUUUCAUGGGAUUUGCCCAUCAAACAUAAAGGCACAUUUGUGAUUCUGAUAACCUAAGACUUUAAACUGUAUUACAAAAUUAUUGCUGUCCAGAGACUAAAGCUGAGGUUUACAAGCCUGUUCUGCCUUCCUGCGGGCCCACUAUGCUUAUAAAUGACACCUUCUAGUGUCUUAAAGUAUGAGAGGCAGCUAGUCCUGAAUUCUCAGGCUGCUAAUGGUUUCACAUAAAAUGAGCUCCUACAAUUUUAUUAGCACCAUGGUGGAACUUCACAGGUGAGGAGCCACCAGGGAAAGGACAAGGACACGGCUCUCAUUUCUGGCCUCUGACUGCUCCAAGAGCAAGGAAGUUUUCCACUCCAUAUUUCAAAUGAUUGCUCCAACUCCCCAGGCUGCUGAUUAAUCCAAAUAGGCUCUACUAUGUUGUUUAGGGAAACCAGGAAUAAGUCACCAAGUCAUCCCUCUGGAGAGAGGGUGAAGUGAAUUCACUUCCUAAACUCACAGCUGUGAAGCUGAUUAAGCAACUUCACUUUAUGAACCCUCAUAUUGUAUUGAGGCCUAUCAGCUGAUUGUGCACAUUGAGAAAUAACCCCUGGAAAAAAAUUAAAUUUCACCUCCCAAUCAGAUAAACCAGACAUGAGUUUCGUAAACAUGCCCACAACACAAAGAUUAUUGUAACUUGGAGAAGUGAUCAUGCUAGACACACAAGAAAAAGGUCCCAAUGGUUCUGUAAACUUCACGUUUUAGUGCCUCACAUUUAUAUGAAGUCUUAACAAUACACAACAUGCCAAACAGAGAACCGAUGGGCUGCUUUUGAAAGAAAACAACUCCUAGAAGCCUUUAAACAGGGCUGAUUACCCAAAAUUACAUGAAAUUACAUGUUCAGAUAUACAUAAUUUUGUGUAUUUCC